Anthonomus grandis grandis is the source of this 418-nucleotide long non-coding RNA. RefSeq lists it as uncharacterized. The transcript has 3 exons. NCBI's taxonomy places the organism in Eukaryota, Metazoa, Arthropoda, Insecta, Coleoptera, Curculionidae. The record is from RefSeq and is a predicted model, not a curated record.
AGUCUUUUCUUGUCUGGAACGCAUGCGACCGGAGGUCGGAGAUGACUCGCUUAAUCUCUUCCUUAGGCCUGUGCUUCUGCAUUUUACGUGGUUUUUUAAAACAAUAGUGGUGUAUAGAUUCAAGAAAGUUUCGAUAGUUUGGAAAAGUGAUAUUUGGGUUCAAGAAUAGUUUAGAACGACGGGAUAAUUUCUACAUUUAAAGCGCAUACAGUACGUAUCUCCAAUUUUCAUCAUCCAAAAGCUCGUCUGAAAUAACUGAAAAAUGGUCUUUCUAUAAAAAUCCAUCUGGAUAUAGACUGAUUGACAUGGAUUUUACGUUGGCGUUCAAUAGUAUGUCUAGCAAGGAUGGAUUGUUGGAAGGAUUGGAUAAGUCAUGGGAAAAACUGUUCCUAAAGAUGGAAAAUCACGUAAAGGAUAA